GUGGGAGGGGGCUUGCUCCCGAUAGCAGGGUGCCAGUCGUUGCAUGUGUUGACUGACCCACCCAUAUCGGGAGCAAGCCCCCUCCCAC
This 88-nucleotide non-coding RNA is filed under the name Pseudomonas sp. SJZ103. Lineage: Bacteria; Pseudomonadati; Pseudomonadota; Gammaproteobacteria; Pseudomonadales; Pseudomonadaceae. The record is from RNAcentral.